Molecule: ribosomal RNA, 253 nt
Filed under: uncultured bacterium
Lineage: Bacteria
Description: partial 16S ribosomal RNA
Rfam family: Bacterial small subunit ribosomal RNA
Source: RNAcentral
UACGUAGGGUGCAAGCGUUAAUCGGAAUUACUGGGCGUAAAGCGUGCGCAGGCGGCUAUGCAAGACAGAUGUGAAAUCCCCGGGCUCAACCUGGGAACUGCAUCCGAAACUGCCUUGCUCGAGUAUGGGAGAGGGAAGUGGAAUUUCCGGUGUAGCGGUGAAAUGCGUAGAUAUCGGAAGGAACAUCAGUGGCGAAGGCGACUUCCUGGACCAAUACUGACGCUCAGGUGCGAAAGCGUGGGGAGCAAACAGG